AAAACUCCCUCUCAAAACAAACAAACAAACCAAAAAAACAAAUAGCAACAGCAACCACAAUCAUCAUCACCAUCAAGGCUGGAACAAGGAUGAGGCAGGCAGGCUCUGAUAGCAACAGGAGGAAGCAGACCAAGGAGGGAGAGAAAGGAAGGCAGAGAAGGGGAAAAAAAAACACAAAUGAUAAUAAUAGAUGCUGACAUUUACGGAGCACUUACUAUGUGCUGGGAACCAUGCUGACGGCACACCGAAUCCACUGAACAGGUGGGACCUACUGUUAAGUUUUCAAGACCACCCAGAAAGAAAUUUGAAGUUGGGUUUAUAUCCUUAAUCCCUCAGUUAGAAAAAAAAGAAAAGUGAAGAAACUGCAUCUCCAAGAUCCUGCUAUAUCAACUUCAGUUUUUUGAAGUUAAAUUUGAUUUUUAAAUCCCUUGGCUGAUGAGACCUGUGUGGGUUUUUUUUUGUUGUUUUUUUGUUUUGUUUUGUUUUGUUUUAUCAUUGUACCUCUAUUUUAAAAAUAGAGACUUGUGGUUCUUUUUCCAAAAGCAGUCCAACAGAAAGUGAAUGGUGGUCAAUGCAUAAUAAAAUGAGAGUUACCUUUUGACUUGGAAGAAUUAUUAGCAUUUUGAUUUGAUGGGUUCUUAGCUCUUCAAAUUCAAAAAUACCUUAUUCAAGUCUAGGAGUUUUCCAAAUACUUCGGUUCUAAAGAUUACCCUUUUUCGAUGCUUUGAAAACUAAAAGGGCAUAUCAGAAUAGAAAUCUGGCUGUUGAAUAACUUGUAAGCUCUGCAGAGACGUACAAAAACAUGGCCACUUUAGCCAGCGGUAUGGCGAAAGUCUGGGGCCCACACUACACACACACAUAUGAACUUCUCAUGACCCUCAAGUAUAUUCAUAUGAUAUAUCACAAAUACCAUAAAGCAGCAUUGUAAUAACAGGGAGGAAUUGAUUUUAAAAGGCCUACAUCAAAAUGAAUAGUCAUAAAAGUAUAAUAACCUAGACUGGAAAAUUUAGGGAUUAGAGCAUUUUGAACAUUAUACCUCAAAUUUAUAAAGGCUGUAUAUUAACAUUCACAAAGGUUUUUAAAGAUGGAAUAGCUAUGUACACAGUGAAUUUAUUCUAAAAUCCAGACUCAAAAAAAAAAAAGAAUAUGAACUCCUCCCCACCGUGUUCUGGACUAAAAUCAAUAAGUUCCCUUUAGGUAAUUAAAAUGCUGGUCCCACGACCUGCCAUCCUAUUCCCAGGCUUAGAAUGUUAGGAACACUGUUUCUGCUUUGAGAAUGGAAGAGAGCAGGUUACCCUGAUGCCUCUGGGGCCAAACACAGGGGAUACAUUUUCCCAGUAGAAGAAAUCAGCCCUGAUCCUCAAGAAGAAGAACAUAUUGGCAUAUUUUAGUGA
This 1394-nucleotide long non-coding RNA is filed under the name Homo sapiens (human). RNAcentral's name for it is "HSALNT0387026". The record is from RNAcentral. Lineage: Eukaryota; Metazoa; Chordata; Mammalia; Primates; Hominidae.